GAUGAACGCUGGCGGCGUGCCUAAUACAUGCAAGUCGAGCGAACGGACGAGAAGCUUGCUUCUCUGAUGUUAGCGGCGGACGGGUGAGUAACACGUGGAUAACCUACCUAUAAGACUGGGAUAACUUCGGGAAACCGGAGCUAAUACCGGAGAAUAUUUUGAACCGCAUGGUUCAAAAGUGAAAGACGGUCUUGCUGUCACUUAUAGAUGGAUCCGCGCUGCAUUAGCUAGUUGGUAAGGUAACGGCUUACCAAGGCAACGAUGCAUAGCCGACCUGAGAGGGUGAUCGGCCACACUGGAACUGAGACACGGUCCAGACUCCUACGGGAGGCAGCAGUAGGGAAUCUUCCGCAAUGGGCGAAAGCCUGACGGAGCGACGCCGCGUGAGUGAUGAAGGUCUUCGGAUCGUAAAACUCUGUUAUUAGGGAAGAACAGAUGUGUAAGUAACUGUGCACAUCUUGACGGUACCUAAUCAGAAAGCCACGGCUAACUACGUG
Molecule: ribosomal RNA, 497 nt
Filed under: uncultured bacterium
Lineage: Bacteria
Description: partial 16S ribosomal RNA
Rfam family: Bacterial small subunit ribosomal RNA
Source: RNAcentral